Non-coding RNA from Perca flavescens (yellow perch), 74 nucleotides. The record is from the annotation of a RefSeq genome assembly. Lineage: Eukaryota; Metazoa; Chordata; Actinopteri; Perciformes; Percidae.
GCUCCAGUGGCGCAAUCGGUUAGCGUGCGGUACUUAUAAUGCCGAGGUUGUGAGUUCGAGCCUCACCUGGAGCA